Molecule: ribosomal RNA, 435 nt
Filed under: uncultured bacterium
Lineage: Bacteria
Description: bacterial LSU rRNA
Rfam family: Bacterial large subunit ribosomal RNA
Source: RNAcentral
GGGGAGCGUUCUGUCAGCGGUGAAGGUCGAUCGUAAGGGCGACUGGAGCGGACAGAAGUGAGAAUGCAGGCAUGAGUAGCGUACAAACACGUGAGAACCGUGUUCGCCGUAAGUCUAAGGUUUCCGACGCCAGGUCAUUCCGCGUCGGGUUAGUCGAGUCCUUAGCCGAGGCCGAGAGGCGUAGGUGAUGGACAUCCGGUCAACAUUCCGGAACCACUUGGGAGUGCGAUGGGAGGACGCAACGAGGUAGGCCAGCCCAUUAUUGGAUUUGGGUUCGGAUCCAUCUAGGUGUUGAGAUUGGUAGGUAAAUACCGCCAGUUGAGCUGAGGUGGGAGCGGGCCGUAAGGCGAAGUGGCUGAGCCUUGUUGCCAACGAAAAGUCUCUAAGCAUAACUCUCUAGUGCUCGUACCGCAAACCGACACUGGUAGACGGGUA